UGGGGAAUCUUAGACAAUGGGCGCAAGCCUGAUCUAGCCAUGCCGCGUGAGCGAUGAAGGCCUUAGGGUUGUAAAGCUCUUUCAGUGGGGAAGAUAAUGACUGUACCCACAGAAGAAGCCCCGGCUAACUCCGUGCCAGCAGCCGCGGUAAUACGGAGGGGGCUAGCGUUGUUCGGAAUUACUGGGCGUAGAGCGCACGUAGGCGGACCAGAAAGUAGGGGGUGAAAUCCCGGGGCUCAACCUCGGAACUGCCUUCUAAACUCCUGGUCUUGGGUUCGAGAGAGGUGAGUGGAAUUCCGAGUGUAGAGGUGAAUUUCGUAGAUAUUCGGAGGAACACCAGUGGCGAAGGCGGCUCACUGGCUCGAUACUGACGCUGAGGUGCGAAAGCGUGGGGAGCAAACA
Molecule: ribosomal RNA, 402 nt
Filed under: uncultured bacterium
Lineage: Bacteria
Description: bacterial SSU rRNA
Rfam family: Bacterial small subunit ribosomal RNA
Source: RNAcentral